UACGGAGGGUGCGAGCGUUAAUCGGAAUUACUGGGCGUAAAGGGUGCGUAGGUGGUUUAAUAAGUUAGCUGUGAAAUCCCCGGGCUUAACCUGGGCAGGUCAGCUAAGACUGUUAGACUCGAGUAUAGGAGAGGGUAGUGGAAUUUCCGGUGUAGCGGUGAAAUGCGUAGAGAUCGGAAGGAACACCAGUGGCGAAGGCGGCUACCUGGCCAGAUACUGACACUGAGGCACGAAAGCGUGGGGAGCAAACAGG
Molecule: ribosomal RNA, 253 nt
Filed under: uncultured bacterium
Lineage: Bacteria
Description: partial 16S ribosomal RNA
Rfam family: Bacterial small subunit ribosomal RNA
Source: RNAcentral